GUGGGGAAUAUUGGACAAUGGGCGAAAGCCUGAUCCAGCCAUGCCGCGUGUGUGAAGAAGGUCUUCGGAUUGUAAAGCACUUUAAGUUGGGAGGAAGGGCAGUAAGUUAAUACCUUGCUGUUUUGACGUUACCGACAGAAUAAGCACCGGCUAACUUCGUGCCAGCAGCCGCGGUAAUACGAAGGGUGCAAGCGUUAAUCGGAAUUACUGGGCGUAAAGCGCGCGUAGGUGGUUUUGUAAGUUGGAGGUGAAAUCCCCGGGCUCAACCUGGGAACUGCCUCCAAAACUACUGAGCUAGAGUACGGUAGAGGGUAGUGGAAUUUCCUGUGUAGCGGUGAAAUGCGUAGAUAUAGGAAGGAACACCAGUGGCGAAGGCGACUACCUGGACUGAUACUGACACUGAGGUGCGAAAGCAUGGGGAGCAAACAGGAUUAGAUACCCGUGUAGUCC
This 450-nucleotide ribosomal RNA is filed under the name uncultured bacterium. Its description in RNAcentral is "partial 16S ribosomal RNA". It matches the Rfam family "Bacterial small subunit ribosomal RNA", at positions 354 to 796 of the family's 1533-position model. The record is from RNAcentral.